Molecule: ribosomal RNA, 493 nt
Filed under: uncultured bacterium
Lineage: Bacteria
Description: partial 16S ribosomal RNA
Rfam family: Bacterial small subunit ribosomal RNA
Source: RNAcentral
AUGAACGCUGGCGGCGUGCCUAAUACAUGCAAGUCGAGCGAACAGACGAGGAGCUUGCUCCUCUGACGUUAGCGGCGGACGGGUGAGUAACACGUGGAUAACCUACCUAUAAGACUGGGAUAACUUCGGGAAACCGGAGCUAAUACCGGAUAAUAUAUUGAACCGCAUGGUUCAAUAGUGAAAGACGGUUUUGCUGUCACUUAUAGAUGGAUCCGCGCCGCAUUAGCUAGUUGGUAAGGUAACGGCUUACCAAGGCAACGAUGCGUAGCCGACCUGAGAGGGUGAUCGGCCACACUGGAACUGAGACACGGUCCAGACUCCUACGGGAGGCAGCAGUAGGGAAUCUUCCGCAAUGGGCGAAAGCCUGACGGAGCAACGCCGCGUGAGUGAAGGUCUUCGGAUCGUAAAACUCUGUUAUUAGGGAAGAACAAAUGUGUAAGUAACUAUGCACGUCUUGACGGUACCUAAUCAGAAAGCCACGGCUAACUACGUG